Non-coding RNA from Daucus carota subsp. sativus, 101 nucleotides. NCBI's taxonomy places the organism in Eukaryota, Viridiplantae, Streptophyta, Magnoliopsida, Apiales, Apiaceae. The record is from Rfam.
AUUAAUGUGGUGAUGAGGCUUAUGUGGACUAGAGUUUCUGAAUCUUGGGGCUUAAUCUCCCUGGGUUCUGUAGACAACCCCUUGGCUGUCUGAGCAUUUUU